GGGGGGUUGUCUGCUCUCAGGCCCCGCCUCCCCGGGGCCGGCUCGGGCCACUUCUUGCGCGCUGCCAGAAGGAGCUAUUUUGAGCAGGAGACUCUGCAUUCAAAAGACCACUCCCGGGCACUGCCUUCUACCAACUUCCCCAUCCAGCUCUGAUUGCAUCGGACCACUGUCUUCCCUCCAUGCCUCCAGCCCUGAGGUUGUCAACGGGGUGCUCCAGCCUCCAUGUGCACCCUGUGACUUCUUUCAUCCUAGUCCUUCUGACCCUCGUGGCUUCUCCUGCUCCAAGGCCAAGCUCGGGACCCUGUCAUCAUCCCCGGGGACAGGCCCCAUCUUAGAGAGGAUCCACCCAGCUCCCCGCUCCUGAGCCAUCUUCCAGCUAUCCCGCCUCGAGACUCCCACCGCACCUGCUCCUGGGCUGCAGCUGCACCCAACAAGUCAACAUGUGGAUUGCUUCUAGAAUUUGGAUAUUAUGAACACUGCUGUGCUGAACAUUCUUGUACACUUAUAUGGUUUGGCUGUGUCCCCACCCAAAUCUCAUCUUGAAUUGUAGCUCCCAUAAUUCCUAUGUGUCGUGG
This 575-nucleotide long non-coding RNA is filed under the name Homo sapiens (human). Its description in RNAcentral is "HSALNT0363503". The record is from RNAcentral. Lineage: Eukaryota; Metazoa; Chordata; Mammalia; Primates; Hominidae.